Molecule: ribosomal RNA, 440 nt
Filed under: uncultured bacterium
Lineage: Bacteria
Description: partial 16S ribosomal RNA
Rfam family: Bacterial small subunit ribosomal RNA
Source: RNAcentral
CCUACGGGAGGCAGCAGUGGGGAAUAUUGCACAAUGGGGGAAACCCUGAUGCAGCGACGCCGCGUGAAGGAAGAAGUAUUUCGGUAUGUAAACUUCUAUCAGCAGGGAAGAAAAUGACGGUACCUGACUAAGAAGCCCCGGCUAACUACGUGCCAGCAGCCGCGGUAAUACGUAGGGGGCAAGCGUUAUCCGGAUUUACUGGGUGUAAAGGGAGCGUAGACGGCAUGGCAAGUAUCAUGUGAAAGGCAAGGGCUCAACCCCUGGACUGCAUUGGAAACUUGUAGGCUGGAGUGCAGGAGAGGGAAGUGGAAUUCCUAGUGUAGCGGUGAAAUGCGUAGAUAUGAGGAGGAACACCAGUGGCGAAGGCGACUUACGGGACUGUAACUGACGUUGAGGCUCGAAAGCGUGGGGAGCAAACAGGAUUAGAUACCCCUGUAGUC